AAACUGGAGAGUUUGAUUCUGGCUCAGAUUGAACGCUGGCGGCGUGCCUAACACAUGCAAGUCGAACGCGAAAGUCUCUUCGGAGAUGAGUAGAGUGGCGCACGGGUGAGUAACGCGUGGAUUAUCUACCUACUGGUACGGGACAACAGUUGGAAACGACUGCUAAUACCGUAUACGCUGGUAACGGGAAAGGGGGCCUCUUCUUGAAAGCUCUCGCCAGUAGAUGAGUCCGCGUUUCAUUAGCUAGACGGUGGGGUAACGGCCUACCGUGGCAACGAUGAAUAGCAGGCCUGAGAGGGUGGCCUGCCACACUGGGACUGGAACACGGCCCAGACUCCUACGGGAGGCAGCA
Ribosomal RNA from Desulfovibrio sp., 352 nucleotides. It matches the Rfam family "Bacterial small subunit ribosomal RNA", at positions 1 to 353 of the family's 1533-position model. The record is from Rfam. Lineage: Bacteria; Pseudomonadati; Thermodesulfobacteriota; Desulfovibrionia; Desulfovibrionales; Desulfovibrionaceae.